RNAcentral lists this transfer RNA (72 nucleotides) under Camelus bactrianus (Bactrian camel). It matches the Rfam family "tRNA". From Rfam's summary of the family: Transfer RNA (tRNA) molecules are approximately 80 nucleotides in length. Lineage: Eukaryota; Metazoa; Chordata; Mammalia; Artiodactyla; Camelidae. The record is from Rfam by way of RNAcentral. RNAcentral also lists the same sequence under 1 other name.
GAGGGUGUACCUCAGAAGUAGAGCAUGUGCUUAGCGUGCACGAGGUCCUGGGUUCAAUCCACAGUACCUCCA